RNAcentral lists this ribosomal RNA (433 nucleotides) under uncultured bacterium. RNAcentral's name for it is "partial 16S ribosomal RNA". It matches the Rfam family "Bacterial small subunit ribosomal RNA", at positions 29 to 507 of the family's 1533-position model. The record is from RNAcentral.
AACGAACGCUGGCGGCAUGCCUAACACAUGCAAGUCGAACGAGACCUUCGGGUCUAGUGGCGCACGGGUGCGUAACGCGUGGGAACCUGCCCUUAGGUUCGGAAUAACUCCCCGAAAGGGGUGCUAAUACCGGAUAAUGUCUUCGGACCAAAGAUUUAUCGCCUUUGGAUGGGCCCGCGUUGGAUUAGCUAGUUGGUAGGGUAAAAGCCUACCAAGGCGACGAUCCAUAGCUGGUCUGAGAGGAUGAUCAGCCACACUGGGACUGAGACACGGCCCAGACUCCUACGAGAGGCAGCAGUGGGGAAUAUUGGACAAUGGGCGAGAGCCUAAUCCAGCAAUGCCGCGUGAGUGAUGAAGGCCUUAGGGUUGUAAAGCUCUUUUAGCCGGGAUGAUAAUGACAGUACCGGGAGAAUAAGCUCCGGCUAACUCCGUG